RNAcentral lists this ribosomal RNA (250 nucleotides) under uncultured bacterium. RNAcentral's name for it is "partial 16S ribosomal RNA". It matches the Rfam family "Bacterial small subunit ribosomal RNA", at positions 810 to 1058 of the family's 1533-position model. The record is from RNAcentral.
UGAUUACUAGGUGUUGGGGGUCGAACCUCAGCGCCCAAGCAAACGCGAUAAGUAAUCCGCCUGGGGAGUACGUACGCAAGUAUGAAACUCAAAGGAAUUGACGGGGACCCGCACAAGCGGUGGAGCAUGUGGUUUAAUUCGACGCAACGCGAGGAACCUUACCAGCGUUUGACAUCUUAGGAAUGAGAUAGAGAUAUUUCAGUGUCCCUUCGGGGAAACCUAAAGACAGGUGGUGCAUGGCUGUCGUCAG